RNAcentral lists this ribosomal RNA (345 nucleotides) under Cadeadoius niger. RNAcentral describes it as "partial large subunit ribosomal RNA". Lineage: Eukaryota; Metazoa; Arthropoda; Arachnida; Opiliones; Gonyleptidae. The record is from RNAcentral.
UCAGAUCACGUAAUUUUUUAAUAGUCGAACAGACUACCUUCUCUUAACUUCUUCACCAAGAAUAAAAAUUAAUUCAACAUCGAGGUCACAAACUUAAUUAUUAAUAAGAACUUGCUAAUUAAAUUAUGCUGUUAUCCCUAGAGUAACUUUUUUAACUUUUUUAAAUUUUUAAAAAUUAAUAUCUUCAAAUGUUACCCCAACCAAAAAUUUCUCAAUCACAAGCUUCUAGGGUCUUCUCGUCCCAAAAUUUGAUAAAAGCAUUUUUACUUCUAAUUUAAAUUCAAGAUAAUCAAAUAAAACUAUCUCUUUAGUUAAAACCCUUCAUUCCAGUUUUCAAUUAAAAAA